This 799-nucleotide long non-coding RNA is filed under the name Equus caballus (horse). Its description in RNAcentral is "lncRNA (ENSECAG00000056790.1)". Lineage: Eukaryota; Metazoa; Chordata; Mammalia; Perissodactyla; Equidae. The record is from RNAcentral.
CUGAAAGUGACCAUAUUUGGAAAUAGGGUCUUGUCGCUAUAAGCAGUUAAGACGAGGUCAUAGUGGACUAGGCUGGGCCCUAAAUCCAAUGACUGCUGUCCUUAGAAGAGGAGAAGAAGAUACCAGGGAAGAAGGCCGCAAUGAUGGAGAUGGGUGGGACUGGAGUGAUGCAUCUACAAGCCAAGGACCUCUGGCCACCAUCAGAAGCUGGGAAGGAGGCACAGGACAGGUUCUCCCUCAGAGUCUCCAGAAGGAACCAACCUGCUCACGCCUUGAUUUCAGACUCUGGCCUCCAGAAUGCCCAGGGUUUCACUGGUUCCGAUCCUGGGCGCGGACGUGGCACCACUUGUCGGGCCAUGCUGGGGUGGCAUCCCAUGUGGCACAGCUGGAGGCACUCGAAACUGAAAUAUACAACUAUGUACUGGGGGCCUUUGGGGAGAAAAAGAAGAAGAAGAAACAAGAAAGAUUGGCAACAGAUGUUGGCUCAGGUGCCAAUGUUGAAAAAAGAAGUAGGGUGGUCUGGAGCAGAGAACAGUGCUGACACCGAGCACUAGCAAAAGGAUUCUGCUGCUGCCUUGUAGAGGGGAAACUCUGUAUGGACUACAGACAGGAAAUGACUCCUCCAGGUUGCCAGGCUGGCUGGUAGAAAAGUCAAGACAAACCAACCUUUGACAUGUCAGAUGCACUCCCAUAACCCUGACCGAUGCUUCCUCUAUGCCAGACACUGUGCUAAGGCCUCACAGAUAUAACACACUGAAGCUCAUGACCAUCCUAGGAGGUGAGCAUUAUUAUUCUCCCA